RNAcentral lists this ribosomal RNA (424 nucleotides) under Verrucomicrobiota bacterium. RNAcentral's name for it is "Verrucomicrobia bacterium partial 16S ribosomal RNA". It matches the Rfam family "Bacterial small subunit ribosomal RNA", at positions 355 to 776 of the family's 1533-position model. The record is from RNAcentral. Lineage: Bacteria; Pseudomonadati; Verrucomicrobiota.
UGAGGAAUAUUGGUCAAUGGGCGAGAGCCUGAACCAGCCAAGUAGCGUGCAGGAAGACGGCCCUAUGGGUUGUAAACUGCUUUUAUGUGGGGAUAAAGUGCGUGACGUGUCAUGCAUUGCAGGUACCACAUGAAUAAGGACCGGCUAAUUCCGUGCCAGCAGCCGCGGUAAUACGGAAGGUUCGGGCGUUAUCCGGAUUUAUUGGGUUUAAAGGGAGCGUAGGCCGUUUGGUAAGCUUGUUGUGAAAUGUAGGAGCUCAACUUCUAGAUUGCAGCGCGAACUGUCAGACUUGAGUGCGCACAACGUAGGCGGAAUUCAUGGUGUAGCGGUGAAAUGCUUAGAUAUCAUGAAGAACUCCGAUUGCGAAGGCAGCUUACGGGAGCGCAACUGACGCUGAAGCUCGAAGGUGCGGGUAUCGAACAGG